This 72-nucleotide transfer RNA is filed under the name Candidatus Pacearchaeota archaeon. RNAcentral's name for it is "tRNA-Asp". It matches the Rfam family "tRNA". From Rfam's summary of the family: Transfer RNA (tRNA) molecules are approximately 80 nucleotides in length. Their secondary structure includes four short double-helical elements and three loops (D, anti-codon, and T loops). Further hydrogen bonds mediate the characteristic L-shaped molecular structure. tRNAs have two regions of fundamental functional importance: the anti-codon, which is responsible for specific mRNA codon recognition, and the 3' end, to which the tRNAs corresponding amino acid is attached (by aminoacyl-tRNA synthetases). tRNAs cope with the degeneracy of the genetic code in two manners: having more than one tRNA (with a specific anti-codon) for a particular amino acid; and 'wobble' base-pairing, i.e. permitting non-standard base-pairing at the 3rd anti-codon position. Lineage: Archaea; Nanobdellati. The record is from RNAcentral.
GCCCUCGUGGUGUAGAGGUUAGCAUAGAGCCCUGUCGAGGCUCCGACCCGAGUUCGAUUCUCGGCGGGGGCG